GUGACGUUUUACGCAAAACAUUGGCAUGAACUUGAUCUGUCCUGCACCUGAGAAAUAGACACCUGUUAGGAGAUAAUUUUAGGUUAUCAUUUGCGUUAGAACUUUGUUUAACGUUGUUAAACAGAUUCAGUUGCAAACAAACAUGCCGAAAAUCGUGGAAUGUGUUCCCAAUUUCUCCGUCGGGAGAAGUAAAGAGAUCAUAGAAGCCAUAGCCACAGCCAUCGCGUCGGUUGAAGGUGUGAGCGUGCUAGAUGUUGACCCUGGACUCUCUACCAAUCGGACUGUGUACACAUUCGUGGGUACGCCAGAGUCUGUGGUGGAGGGAGCGCUAGCUGGUGCCCGGGUCGCUUACCAGGCCAUUGACAUGCGCAUCCAUCUAGGUGAGCACCCACGUAUAGGUGCGUUGGAUGUCUGUCCGUUCAUCCCAGUACAGAAUGUGACCAUGGAGGAAUGUGUGGAGUGUGCAAAGGAAUUCGGGGAAAAGCUUGCCAUUGAACUCGGUGUGCCAGUGUACCUAUAUGCAGAGGCUGCUAUAGACGGUCACCGGAAGACUCUUCCUCAGAUCAGAGCUGGGGAAUAUGAGGGGCUGCCUGAGAAAAUUCAUAAACCGGAAUGGAAGCCAGAUUUUGGCCCUGCAGAAUUUGUGCCAACCUGGGGUGCCACCGUUACGGGCGCUCGUAAGUUCCUCAUCGCGUUUAACAUCAACCUGCUGGGUACCAAGGAACAGGCUCACAGGAUCGCACUUAAUAUACGAGAGCAGGGUCGCAGCAAAGAUGAGCCAGGCCUUCUGAAGCAUGUACAGGCUAUAGGCUGGUACCUUGAGGAGGCAAACAUGGCCCAGGUGUCUGUAAACAUCACAGAUUUUGAGGAGACUGGUAUACACACAGUAUAUGAGGCUGUGUGCAAGGAUGCAGAGGAGUUGAACCUGGCAGUGGUUGGUUCCCAGAUAGUUGGUUUGGUUCCCCUCGCGGCACUGAUGGCCACUGCCCAGCACUACAUGGACAAUAGCAGCCUCUUCAUUCUGGAGGAUGACCAGAAACUCAGACUGGUAAUCAACAGACUUGGCUUAAACUCGCUAGGUGCAUUUAGUCCAAAAGAGAGAAUUAUUGAGUACAUGAUCUCAGAAGAGAGAGAGGGACCCCUGGUUACCAUGGAUGUGAAGGAUUUCAUCCUCACUGUGGGGUCAAGGUCACCAACCCCUGGUGGGGGGUCAGUCGCAGCACUGGCGGCGUCAUUGGGUGCAGCGCUAGGCUCAAUGGUAGGGUUCCUCACCUAUGGCAACAAGAAGUUCUUUGAGCUGGAUGCCCAAAUGAGGCAGCUGAUUCCACCCUUGUACAAGGCCAUGAAAGACCUCACGCCUUUCAUUGAUGCAGACGCUGCAGCCUUCAGUGAAUAUAUGCUGGCCUUGAAAUUACCAGCAGAAUCGGAAGAAGAAAAGAAUGUGCGUACCGCAGCCCUCCAGGAGGGGCUGUGUACUGCGGUGCAGGUGCCCCUCACAGUGGCCAGGAUCAGUAACAGUCUGUGGGGUCCCCUGAGGGGGCUGGCUGCCGUGGGCAACAUCAACUGCAAGUCUGAUCUGCAGGUGGGUGUCCGUAUGCUGGAGACAGCUGUGUGGGGAGCCUACUACAAUGUGAAGACAAACCUGAAGGAUAUCGCAGAUGUCGAGUUCAGGACAAAGAUUGGAGAGGAGAUUGAUGGUGCAAUAAAGCAGGCACAGGAGAAUUGUGCUGCAAUCCUGAAGAUUGUUGAUGAACGCAAAGAGUAACUUCUAGUCCCGGCAUCCCGGCAUAACCAAUGUGGUUCAGAGCGUGGUUAAAUUGGAUACAAGUCACACUGUUUUAAAAACAUUCUGAAUGACAAAAGACAAAGGCAUAAUAUUUUAUUAUGGGUCAUUAUAAGUGUUCUAAAAUAAAGUUCUGACUGUCAUCAUGUGCUAUCCAUCUUAUGGCUUUCACUAAGUUAUGUUGUUAAGUAAAUAUCUGUAUGACUCUGAAGGUGUAUUUUUAGUUAAACAUUGUGUUUUUUCUUAGUUUUGAAUGAGAUACAUUUUAAAGUACUAUUGAUGAGAUGUAAUGCUUAUAAUUAAAAUACAUUUAAUACUUACUUUAUUUUUAGCCAGAAUUACAAUCAGUUAAGAAAAAUACAAAAACUACGUAAAUUUCAAUAAAAUAACCAUAAAGGAACAUCUUUAGAGGGAUUUAUUUGCAGAUUUGCAAUGUGAGAAUUAAACAAAUGGUAUUGGAUUUGAAAAAGAAUGUAUACAUGUAUAUUAUUUAUAAUCAAGAAAAAUAGCCCCAAUGACCAAAACUGAUAUGCAAGAAAUAAUGACGUGUUCUUAAAAAAAUGACAAUCUUUCAAAAAGCCCCUUUAAUUCACCAAACGCGAAUCAUGUAUUACAACCUUUUUAUUUUAACAAAUUUGAGGGUUAUAUAAUAAGAAUAAUUUUUUAGCCAUCCAAUUAUUUAUAAGUGUUGUAUGGUAUAAAUACAGUCAGCACAUUAUCUUUAACCUUUUAUUCAUUAACCCUCUAAAUCUUUGAAAUCCAUCAGCCAUGAUUUAAAAAUAGUGUUGGACUGAUAAGCUUUUUAAUACCUUUUGUAUGCAUAUGUAUUUUUACAAGCAAUCAUUCCAACAGUCUGUGAUAUGUUUUAAAAUACAUUAAGACGUUUACAAGUUCAUUGAAGUAUUUAAGCUUUGUAUUGUUUAAACCUUGAUCAUUACUUACAUCAAAUGUAUUUAGUUUUUUAAAUGACACAAUGGAUUAUUGUAAGUGUUAUAUGCAUUGAAAAUGCAUUCAUAAUUUUGCAUUUAUUUCACUGCUUUUUACCAUUAAUUGUUCUGUCUUUUCUUGUGAUUUUCCUGUUUUUACACUGUGAGUUUCAGAAAGAUUUGUUUUCUUUUUUAAUUUUUCUGAAUUGGUUUGGGUAUUUUAUUUUGACAUUCCCCUCCCUAAGUUUGUUUCUCCAGUAUCAAUAGGUUUUAAUUGCACAUAAUUUUGUGUAGUAAUAUAUAUGCCAUGCCACAUUUCAAGUGUAUUAAUUCAUCAUUAUAUUUUAAGUCACAUACGUUGUUAAAAUAAAACAUAUUUUUGUAAACAUAUUACCAGUUACAAGCAGGGUCAUACAUAUAACCGUCCAAUUUAUCGUUUAUAUUUUAGAGUCAGGUACUUGAGGAGUGAGUCUUUGAUUCAUUGUGCUUAAUAACCUGUUUGUGUAAUUUAGGGGUAGGCACUGUAUGAUGUAAAUGCAAAACAAAUAUAAGGACAUAUCUGUUUUACAUGGGUAUUUAGGUAAGUUAAAUAUAAAAAAUAAUAUCUGAAAAAGCUUGAAAAACCUGGAACGUUUAAUUGAAAUUCUGGUAACUAAUUUUCUGCUCUGUAAAAGGAUUGUUAUUUUUCAAACUUGAAAUAUUUUAUAUGUUAUGAUAAUUUAAGACUGCAAGUUAAAAGCAUAAUGGUUUUGCUUUUAUUUUAUUUUUUGAGUUGUUUUGCAAAAUUAGCAACUGAAUGUGGUGAGUUUUAAUGAAAAAUUGUAGAAAGAGUAAUGAAUUACUUGUGUGUUUGUUUUUUAGAGAACUAUUUUAAUUAAAGAUAUAUUAAGUCUCCUGGUAUUUGUCUUAUGCAUGUAUUAAACCAUGCAAUGGAAACUGCUGUUGAUUGACAAUUAAUUGUGUGAGAAAAGUGUAUAAUGAUAUUCAGAAUGAUUUUCAAGCGCUUUUGCUUUUUGAUUGUGUGAUUUUGCAUUUGCCAGUGUUGCAUAUUGCUUCAAUAGGUGUACAUUGUGGCCCUUUUAUCAUCAUUUUUAUGAGCCGCGCUUUGUGAAAAGGGAAUGUGUGUAAGGUGUUGUCCCGGAUUAGCCUGUGCAGUCAGCACAGGCUAAUAUGGGAUGACACUUUAAGCUUUUAUGAUAGUUUUUGUUUCAAGAAAGUCUUUCCUUAGCAAAAAUUAAGUUUUUGCGGAAAGUGUUGUCCCUCAUUUGCUUGUGCGAACUGCACAGGCUAAUCUGGGACGACACUUUACGCCCAUGCAUUAAACCACUUUUUCACAGAGCACGGUUUAUAUACAUGUCUUAUUGUAUGAGUAUGUGUAUUUAAGAAGUUUGUGUCUUAGCAUUAUAAGUUCCAAUUGUUUCAAAUAUGUGGUCACACAUUGUUUUUAAUUUAUGUUUACCCAAGGCUCAAACUAGAGUAGAACAAGUACAAGACUUUAAAAUUAUUAUAAACAUUUGGGCCGUGCUCUGUGAAAAAGGGGUUGAAUGCAUGUGCAUAAAGUGUCGUCCCAGAUUUACCUGUGCAGUCUGAACUGUCUAAUCAGAGACGACACUUUCCGCCUUUAUGAUAAAUUUCGUUUCAAGAAAGUCUCUUCUUAGCAAAAAAUCAAGUUUAGGCGGAACGUGUCGUUCCUGAUUAGACUCCGCGGACUGCACAGGCUAAUCUGGAACGACUUUUUACGCACAUGUAUUAAACCCCUUUUACACUGAGCGGGGCUCAUUUUUUGAAUGGUACCUGCUAUUUUAUACAUUUGUUGAAUGAUUGACACAUCCUCGGUAGUAAUUGUAACUAUUUUAUCAGGGUUUAUGUAUGUAAACACGAAGGUCAAUUAUACAAUCAGUAUUAUAGGAAGAUAUGACCCAAAUCAUGUGAAACUGUUUCUGAUUCCAUAGUGAACAGGGUAGCUCCAGACCAGUAUUGUGCGCAUGCUGGUCUGGAACAAUGCUGACCACAUGUGGCAUAAGACCCAUUUUCUCAUGACUGGGCUUAUACAGUGAUAAAACUCAUUCGCAAGCUGUUCUGGUUUUAUGCUGGUUGCAAAAGCCAUUUUCACUUUGCUUCUGAGUGGGAAAGGGUUAAGCUUGCCACCAUAAGCUAUUUAUUGUUAAGUGUGGUUUUACAUUAUUAUUGUUAUAGCUUCGACUUAUUAUCAAAUGGUUUGCUUAUUUUACUACGUAAGUAGGUAUUUUCGCUGUUUGUACAUUAUCAAAGGUAUAAAUAAGUACAAUGUUUAUACUGCAUUAUGCUCAGCUUGACAAUUUAAGAACAUUGGUUUCAACAACGUUUUUCAUGAUUUGUACCUACACCAUGUUGUUGGGUAUUAAGUUUGGUCUUGCUUUUAAAUUUCAUUUCAUCCUGUUUUAUUCAUGCAUAAUGACAUAAUAUUUUACCAAUGGCUUAAAAUUAACUGUAACAUUAGUAUGAUAGUGGCCUUGUAUUUUAUGCAUUAUAGGAACAUUCAUACAUCAUGUAUGUAGGGUUUUACAAAUUACAAUGCGAGUUAAGACCUCAUACUGUUGAAAGUUUAUUUUUAUGUCCCCCACCACUAUAGUGGGGGACAUAUUGUUUUUGCCCUGUCUGUUGGUUUGUUUGUGUGUUUGCUUGUUUGUUUGCGCCAACUUUAACAUUUGCAAUAACUUUUGAAAUAUUGAAGAUAGCAACUUGAUGUUUGGCAUGCAUGUGUAUCUCAUGGAGCUGCACAUUCUGAGUGGUGAAAGGUCAAGGUCAUCCUUCAAGGUCAAAGGUCAAAUAUAUAGCUUCAAAGCGGCGCAAAAGGGGAGAUAGUGUUUCUGACAAACACAUAUCUUGUUCUGUCCUUAAUAUCACAUUUUGUCCAUCCUUUACUUUCAAACAGCAGGCAGUUGGUUUCAUGUAUGUGGAUAACUAAUUAAUUAUGGCACGAUUUAGAAGUCUUUAAAUUCUCAUAUAAAAUUAAUGCAUAAUUAUUUGCAUAGUUUUGGAGCUAAGUGUGAAAAUUGCAACUUUUUCUGUUGUGUUUAGCUUAAAAUACUGUUACUGCAACCCGAAAUAUACAAGUUUUUGUUGA
This is an RNA transcript of Dreissena polymorpha, 5815 nucleotides long. It is a transcript of the gene named formimidoyltransferase-cyclodeaminase-like, with no coding region annotated. The transcript has 16 exons. Lineage: Eukaryota; Metazoa; Mollusca; Bivalvia; Myida; Dreissenidae. The record is from RefSeq and is a predicted model, not a curated record.